GCAGUCCGACGGUUUGUCGCUCAACGAAGCAGUCGUUGGGAGGAAAGUCCGGGCAACACAGAGCUCCAUACUUCCUAACAGGGAGCUGCUCGCGAGGGCAGAGUAACGUAACAGAAAAUAACCGCCGCCGUAUAUGCGGUAAGGGUGAAAAGGCGAGGUAAAAGCUCACCGGGUAUUACAGAGAUAUAAUAUGCCGUACGUCUUAUGGGUUGCAAGGUCAUGUAUACCGGCGAAUAAGGGUUGCUCGCCCGAUGCCGGGGGGUAGACCGCUCGAGCCUGACGGCAACGACAGGCCAAGAUAAAUGACAGACGCCUGCAUCAUUGCAGGAACAGAACCCGGCUUACAGGCGGACUGCUUUC
Molecule: RNase P RNA, 360 nt
Filed under: Tannerellaceae bacterium
Lineage: Bacteria; Pseudomonadati; Bacteroidota; Bacteroidia; Bacteroidales; Tannerellaceae
Description: RNase P RNA component class A
Rfam family: Bacterial RNase P class A
About the family: Ribonuclease P (RNase P) is a ubiquitous endoribonuclease, found in archaea, bacteria and eukarya as well as chloroplasts and mitochondria. Its best characterised activity is the generation of mature 5'-ends of tRNAs by cleaving the 5'-leader elements of precursor-tRNAs.
Source: RNAcentral